AAACAGGACACAAUUGGAGAAACUGGUUAUUUUACCAAGGCUUUGACUGGAAUGGUGCACUUUCCUUUAAGGAUCAAACAUGACUUAUGGAGCCAAUUAAAUCCCCUUGGGAAAACUGGCCUCAUUGCUUGUCUACACAGUUCCUGUCCAGGGUUCCUGACUUACGGAUGUGAGACUUCACAACCUGCUAAAAAUGAACUUUCCUAAUAACUCGGGACCUACCCAUCUAGGAAUAAACCAUCCUAUUCAUGACAGUGCCUGUGAAAGAUAAAGGAGAAAGAAUCAGGGUUGGAGAACUGGAAAAGUCUUGGCCAACCAAAUAGGCAACCCUGCAGCAAAGAUUGCCCAUUAGAAGAGUCAAAUGCUAGGAAGAAAUUGCAAACCCUACUAUUCUCACUGUGCUCAAACUUCGACUAGGAACUUCCACAAAGAGUGUGGCCUUGGCUUGAACAUUGCAGCAGCAGAUUAUGUAGGUGCUGAACUUGGAGUUUUGCACUUCUCACAGCUGACAGCAAAUUCUUUCUUCAAGGGAGACCUGAGCAGUCCUCCAUAUCUGCCAAAUUACUGCAUAGGAACAAAAAGGAGCCCUCCAUUCAUCUAAGAAGCAAAAUGAACUAGCAGAGAGAGCUUUGGCAUCAGGCAAAUCUGAUUGUAAAUACUUCUAGCAUAUAGUUGCUCUUACAUUGGUAUGUUGCCUAUUGUUUCAGAGUAUUACUUUCCUUGUCUAUAAUGGGAAAAUAAUAAUAAUUAUCUUAUGGUUAUUUGUUGAAUACAUGGGUAAAGUUAUUAUGAGGAUUAAAUAAGAUAACACUUGGGAAUAGCCUAAUAGAGUGUUUAGCACAUAAUGGAUGUUCAAUGGAUAUAUUAAAGUAAUAAAUUGCCCUAAUUUCUUAUUUGCAAAAGUUAAGAGACUCUGGUCACAACUUCUGAUGGAAUAUCUUAAAUAAUUCAUUUUUUUCCUAGACAUUUUAUGCACAAUAAUGGGACUGUGAUACACACAUUACCCCUUCUGCCUGAAGUGACUUGACUUUCCCUCUUUGUCACUCUGCAAGGUCCAUUGUCCAUUCUGAAGCAUUAAAUAACUAGUAUAAUAGGUCAUGAGGGAAAUUCCUGGCAUCUUAAUUUAAGUAUAUUACUUUGGCUGCAAGUCAAAGUUAUCAUUAUUAGGAUUUCUGGCAUCAGAACAAUCACUUGUAAUUCUUUCUGGAAGAAUUUUCUUGGUUAAGCAAUGCUAAUGAAAUCCUACUUAAACCAGCUAUAUUCUCUGGCAAUUUCCCAUCUAUGUAUGCACUGAUAAAUACUUGGAAGAUUCUCAUUCCUCAUUGAUUUAUUGACAUAAAAUCAUUUUGGUUCACUAUUACAAUUUUCAUUUCAUCUACAAUUAACCCAUUAAAUUUAUUAUUCCAAUUAUUCUUUACUCCUGGCACCUUAUGUUACUAUAACUGUUAUUUUAUACUAUUAUUAACACCUAAAUCUAUGAUACUGAAAAGGGUAAUAAUAAAUUUACAGUAGUUAUUUCCACAUCACCUUAGUUUGGGACAUAUUAUUGUUUACAACUUUACGUUACUACAGUAAUCUUGCUGUAUAAGUAUCUGUGUACAAGUUCUUUAUUUUUUACGGAAACAUUGAAAUAUUUAUUUGGAUUUUUUUCAGAGUUGGAUUGCUGGAUCAGGAAAUAUUAAUAUUUUAAAGACAUUUAUUACCAAACCAGUAUCAAAAAUAUCACUUUGGUUGACCAUGAUACCAGCAAUGGAUACAUGUAUAUGUUUCCCUGAAAUGCUAUGAAUACUGUUUUUCUGAGGCAUGAAGAGGUAAGCAGCAACACAAAGACUAGCAUCAAUGCCUCCUCUUUUUUUAUCUAGUGCUUUCAGCACAACCUAUCAUAUGAGCAAAAAGUAUACAUUAAUCUAGUAGAUGCACCUGCCUAUUUUAUCUUGUGGUUUAACUUCCAAGAACACUUCCUAAAAAUAUACAAUGUCUUAGCACCAAUUACAAUGUUAUAAUUAAUUUAUCCUUAAUUUUCUGAAUAAAGUAAUUUUCAGGCACAUCUUUCCAUGGAUUCGGUUUGUAGUUCUGGCUAAUUGCAUGGGCUCAGAAACCAGACGGAAUCUCAAGUCUCCUACUUAGUAGAUAUGUGAGAGGCACAGGGGUUACUCAGUCUUUCUGCACUUCAAUUUUCUUCCUAUGAAAUGGGUUUGACAAUGGCAUAGAAUUUAGAGUAUUAUGACACAUAAAUGAGUUAAUAUAAAGAAACUACUUAAAAAGUAUCUAAUAUACAGUAAAAUACCAAUAAAUUCUAGCUGUAUUUGGGAGCUCCCUAAAUAUGUAGUAGGGAGAUAUAUAUUUAAUAGGCUUUGUCUUUGUUUAAAAUGAUUGAUUGAUUAGGCCAUUUAUGUUGUAAUAUAUGUUUAACACCAUGUAGAUCAGGGAAGACAAAUAUAUUUCAUGUCCCAUUGUCAUUUGACUGGUAAUGGCUGCCUGGAACACUGUGCUGAAAAGGAUUGUGUGUCCACAUCUAUGACUAGAGAGAGUCAUAUUUAAUUAGCAGUGUCAGCCACAGGUGCAGAAG
RNAcentral lists this long non-coding RNA (2569 nucleotides) under Homo sapiens (human). RNAcentral describes it as "HSALNT0153371". Lineage: Eukaryota; Metazoa; Chordata; Mammalia; Primates; Hominidae. The record is from RNAcentral.